This 30-nucleotide non-coding RNA is filed under the name Homo sapiens (human). Lineage: Eukaryota; Metazoa; Chordata; Mammalia; Primates; Hominidae. The record is from RNAcentral.
UGCUAAGAAUAGCAGGCUCUCUUCAGGGGA